GAGAGAGGGAAAGGAAGAAAAGGGAAAAAGAGAAGAAGAAGAAAGUAAUGAAAUUGGUGUCGUUUGACGAGCCGAUCGAUCCCCCGCGCGCGUUGGAUUUUUCCGGCGCUUCGACUGCGAAGAACGAAACUUGGGAGAUAACCUAUUGGAACUUGAAAACCUGAGAUCAGGUUGGUGUGUUAUUUAACAGGAAUUGAGGAUUGAAGUCCUAACGUGAAGUUGACCACGUACAAACCUAAUUGAGGGUAAAACGAACGCGUUGGCGAAGUCGGUUCGGCAAUCCAUCGAGCCUACGCGAAGAUAUCGCCAAAAGGACGUUUUCGGCAUCAAUUGACGCGAGCGCGGGUCGCGGUUCUUGGAAAAGUGCGAGAAGCGCAUUUCUCGCAAUCCGGUACAAAAUAAAG
Molecule: long non-coding RNA, 404 nt
Organism: Ananas comosus (pineapple)
Lineage: Eukaryota; Viridiplantae; Streptophyta; Magnoliopsida; Poales; Bromeliaceae
Exons: 3
Source: RefSeq, a predicted model, not a curated record